Molecule: RNA transcript, 4031 nt
Organism: Tachysurus fulvidraco (yellow catfish)
Lineage: Eukaryota; Metazoa; Chordata; Actinopteri; Siluriformes; Bagridae
Gene: akap1a
Gene name: A kinase (PRKA) anchor protein 1a
Exons: 16
Source: RefSeq, a predicted model, not a curated record
CACUAUACGAAUGGCCCCUAUUUAGGGAGCCUGAAGUUAUUCGGCGUCAGUGUUCAAAUAAUGACCGUUAAUUAAUUAGCUGCACGUGCGACUUUUUCGCCUCAGUUAUGACAUUGCUUCAACCGUCGGCUCUGGAUUUACGGUUAAAGUGAUUAGAAAAUGCUGAAGUUACCCGUCAGGCCUCUUGUGCCUCUGUCAGCACUUGCUCUGCUCGGCUGGUGCUGGUACACCGUUAGGAAGAAGAGGAACCUAUGCGAGAGAGCUGAAGAACAAUUCUUGGUCUCAUUUGCUGCUAGAAAGCAAAGCAUAGCAGAGAAUGUUACGAUACAGGAAGCUGCCAGUGGAAAUGCGCUGGAUUCGAAAACACGUUUUCAGUCGCAGGAAAAACUAGCAGAUGACCAAAAUCAUGACAGCUCUCAGCCUAGCAGUACCAUGGAGGACUCGUCUGUCCUAUCUCCGACCCCACAAACCACUAUUCUCACCUCCACGCCAGUUCUAAAAGGAAUUCGUCCAGAACCAGAAGGAGAGGUAUCCAAAGUGCAAGCAUCUCUGCUUCUGGCCGAGAAGCCAGAAACGGAGACAGACAAGGAGGAUGAGAAUGUUAAAGGUCACUCGGACAUUAAAGCCAUCAAGACGGAGUCUUUUGCACAGCAGCCCACAGGGAUCGUGUGCCCCAAAGAACACAGAGUCGCUAACGUGUCUGAAAAGCAAUACGACAGCGGCCCGUGUCUGAGUGAAGCCGAUGGCCUGGUCAUUGAGGUUAUCAGUGGUGUUGCAGAAGAGAUCACAGCAAUUGGUGGCAUUUUAAAAAGAAAAGGUCAUGUGGAACCAAGGGUAACUCCGCAAAGCCAAGUGCAACUUGAAAAAACUGACGAGGUGAGUAACAUUUUAGCGGUCACUAAGAAAGAUCCCGGAGCUCUUACUAAGACUAUGGUGGAAAGUGUCUCUUCAACACAUAAGCAGAAUGACCUCCCUACAAUGUUACCACCAUUGGAGGAUUCAGGCUAUAGCAUGUGCCAUUCAGAGGAUGGGGUAGAAGCAGAGAAAGCUUCUAGCAAGUCUCAAGCUGUGGAGAAAACGUCCUUCAACGUUUCAUUAUCUUCUGAAUCUCACCAAGCCAUAGCCCCCAAAAAUGGAAAUCUCUCAAGACAAAAGGCAGACACCUCUAAAGUUGUUAAUGGAGCACAGUCUACGAGUGUAGAGGGCAGGGUCACCACGAGUCGAGCCACGCAGUCUAGAAAUUCACCCCAUACCCUGUGGAACAUAGAGGUGCCAGCGCACCUCAUUGGGCGAUUAAUUGGAAAGAAAGGGAAGUAUAUUUCCUUCCUGAAACAAAGUUCUGGUGCGAAGAUCUGCGUGUCUGCUCUUCCGUACACAUACGAGUUUCAGAUCUGUCAUAUAGAGGGGUCUGAGGUGCAGGUGGAUAAAGCGCUGGCACUAAUCAGAAAAAAGUUCAAAGAUUUGGAUUUAAGCAACCGCCUGAGCUGUUCACAACCUGCUGCAGUCCAGUCUCUACCCAUCACUUCCUGGCUGCCACUCCCACAGGAUGGAACUGUGGAGGUCAUUGUACCACGGGUGGAGGCAGCAAAUUACCUGUUUGUGCAGCAGCACACACACUCCAGCUAUUAUGGCCUGUGCAGUCUCACUGAGCAGAUGCUGUUCUGCUACUGUCAUUCAGGAUGCCCCAGCCUGCCAACUCCUGUGGAAGCAGGAGUUUUGUGUGCUGCCCCGUCUCCUGAUGGUGCCUGGUGGAGAGCUCAAGUUAUUCAGCAUUACAAAGACUCCGAUAUCGUACAGAUCAGAUACGUGGACUAUGGAGGCUAUGUGACUGUUAACCUCACCUCUCUGAAGCAGAUCAGAUCAGAUUUUGUGACUUUGCCUUUCCAAGCAUCUGAAGUUAUGUUAGAAAACAUUGCACCUUUGCCAGGAAAGGGGACAUUUUCAUUUGAAGCCAAAGAGGCUCUUGAGGAAUUAACGCAAGGGAUUCCUUUGAUCAUGAAGGUGACUGGCAGCCAGAACGGACUGCCCUUAGUGCACAUGUGGCGACAUACAGGAGAAAAGAUGAUGUCAUUGAAUGGAGUGCUGGUGGAUCGAGGGCUUUGCUCGUGGUUGGACAGCCGCUGAUGCCGAACCCUAAUGAUGUCUGCAAGGAACGUGUGUCAUAAUGCCUGAUCGUGGAAGAGGAUCUCACGCCGAUGUUAUUGACAGGUCCGGAUUUUAAAUGACGUUUCGACGUACCUCGCAUGUGAUCAUCAAGAGCUGCUCGGUAACCCAGGGAUGCUGCAGUGCUUGAAGUCUCACGUCAUCACCUGUACACGACCAGUUAGAAACUGCGGCUCGUCUUCCCAGGACCUCCAGAUUUAUGCUGAGGAAUCAAAACAGUGUGACCAUUUACAUUAUCCUGCUGAAAGAGGCCACGGCCAUUAAGGACUACUGCUGCCAGUAGGGGUAUUUGCAGCAGUGUUUAGAAAGGUUUCGAGUGUCAUGAAUGCCAGGACCCAAUGUUUCCCAGCAGAACCAGAGCAUCAACCUGCCUCUGCUGGCUUGCACUCUUCUCACUGUGCAUCCAAGAGCUUUCUCUUCCCUAGGUAAGUGGCACACAACAGACUGUCCACAUGAUGUGAAAGAGAAAAUGUGAUUCAUCAAACUAGGCCACCUUAGUUCUAAUGCUCAUGUAAACAUUGCAGGCGUUUUUGACAGGGGUCAGCAUGGCCGUCUGCCCACUCUGUGGCUUCAGUACAAUAGGCAACAGGGUCAUGUAAACCCAAUGCUCAUUUCAUUUAUGGCAAUACAUUUUUUAUUUCAGUUUAUACAACUGAGGGUUAAGGGCCUUGCUCAGCGGCCCUACAGUGGCAGCUUGGUGGACUUGGGGUUCGAACCCAUGACCUUCCGAUCAGUAGUCCAACACCUUAACCACCAUAUCCCCCAUUUCUUCAUGGGAAUCAAAGGUCAGUCUGUAUGUUCUGAUCCUACAGAUCAGCUAAUGUAGGCAUGCUAGCAAGGUGUCAGAACAUAAAAGUGCAUCACAGCUUGCUGCAUAGCCACAGAGUGGUCAGUCUGCCCAUGCUGACUGCUCAUCCACAGCCAAAUGUCUACAAUGGAUAGGUGAGCAACUGGAACACGUAGCAGCGGAAAGAGUUUGCCUGGUCUGAUGAAUCAUGUUUUCUCUUCAAAAUCAUGUGAGCAGCCUGGUUUGUGUCACCUGGGGAAAAGAUAGCUCUAAGAUGCCCUAUAAGAAAUAGGCAAGCAGGUGGAAGCAGCAUGAUGCUCUAGGUAAUGGUCUACUGGCAUUCAUGCAGAUGUUGUUUUUACAUUACACCCACCUAAACAACACUGUUGGAGACAAAGUACCCUACUUCAGGGCAGGGGCCACUUUCAGCAGGAUAAUGCAUGCUGGCAUUUUGCGAAAAUUGUUCAGGAAUGGUUUGAGGACCAUGGUGUUGACUUGGCCUCCAAAUUCUGCAGUUCUCAAUCCGAUUGGGAAUCUUUUUGAUAAAUUCCAAUCUAUAGAGACACCACAUCGCAGCUUACAGAACUUCAGCCAGAUACCACAACACACCAUCAGGAGUCCGUGCCUCGACAGGAUGACAAAGUGCUACUACUAGUCGACAGGGCAAGAGGGCAACAACACCACAAAGAGCAACUCCAACCUCCAGAGUUCACUGAGGUGUGUAAGUGUAGAGUGCAGAAGAGGAUGGACACAGCCGUAACCACACAGAACACACGUGGUCAGAGCGUUUACCUGGCCCCGGGUUCUGUGGGUACGCCACGUAGCUGCCUCUUCCUCGGGCGCCCCUACCUGAGCCUCGUGCCGCUGCCACUGCCGCUGCCACCGGACCGUACGCCGCUGCCGGGAAACCUGACACACACACACACACACAAGCUGUUAGUACUCAUUAACCCUUUACUACUGCUACUCUGAUCAUAAUGUUCAUUACCAGGAGUCAAUUCAAUUUUUAUUUGUAUAGCAUUUGUGUACAAUUCACAUGUAAAGUUGGUCAAUAACGUAUUAAAAAUAGUCAAUGGCACGA